This 1933-nucleotide ribosomal RNA is filed under the name seawater metagenome. RNAcentral describes it as "bacterial LSU rRNA". It matches the Rfam family "Bacterial large subunit ribosomal RNA", at positions 1 to 1998 of the family's 2925-position model. The record is from RNAcentral.
UCAAGCGCGAGAAGGGCGUUUGGUGGAUGCCUUGGCAGCAAGAGGCGAUGAAGGACGUGAUACUCUGCGAUAAGUCAUGGGGAGCUGAGAAUAAGCUUUGAUCCAUGAAUUUCUGAAUGGGGCAACCCACCUAAUACUUUGUUAUUACUACUCGUAAGAGUGGCUAAUAACUUGGUAAACUAGGUAUUUGUAGACUGAAUACAUAGGUUUACAAAAGCAAACCCGGGGAACUGAAACAUCUAAGUACCCGGAGGAAAGGAAAUCAAUAGAUACUCCCCUAGUAGCGGCGAGCGAACGGGGACCAGCCGAGCUGUGAUUGUGAUUAGAAUGGUCUGGAAUGGCCAACCAUAGUGGGUGAUAGUCCCGUAUAAGAAGCAUGAUCGGACGUAUUAAGUAGGGCGGAACACGUGAAAUUCUGUCUGAACAUCGGAGGACCACCUUCGAAGGCUAAGUACUCCUUACUGACCGAUAGUGAACCAGUACCGUGAGGGAAAGGUGAAAAGCACCCCGACGAGGGGAGUGAAACAGAUCCUGAAACCGAACGCCUACAAUCAGUCGGAGCCUCCUUGAGAGGUGACGGCGUACCUUUUGUAUAAUGGGUCAACGACUUGGUCUAUCUAGCAAGCUUAAGCCGUUAGGUGUAGGCGCAGCGAAAGCGAGUCUUAAUAGGGCGAAUGAGUUCGUGGGAUCAGACCCGAAACCGAGUGAUCUAGGCAUGUCCAGGAUGAAGGUAAGGUAACACUUACUGGAGGACCGAACCCACAUCUGUUGAAAAAGAUCGGGAUGAGGUGUGCCUAGGGGUGAAAGGCCAAUCAAACUCGGAGAUAGCUGGUUCUCUGCGAAAUCUAUUUAGGUAGAGCGUCGUCCGAAUACCCUCGGGGGUAGAGCACUGAAUGGGUAAUGGGGGCCUACAGCCUUACUGAUCCUAAUCAAACUCCGAAUACCGAGGAGUACUAGACGGCAGACACACAGCGGGUGCUAACGUCCGUUGUGGAGAGGGAAACAACCCUGACCUACGACUAAGGCCCCUAAUUCAUGGCUAAGUGGGAAAGCAGGUGGGACGACCAAAACAACCAGGAGGUUGGCUUAGAAGCAGCCAUCCUUUAAAGAUAGCGUAACAGCUCACUGGUCUAAAUAAGUUGUCCUGCGGCGAAGAUGUAACGGGGCUCAAGCCAUGAGCCGAAGCUUAGGAUGCAUUUAAUGCAUGGUAGCGGAGCGUAGUGUGACAUAGCACCGUUCCUCUUUUGCGGUUUGGUAUGAGCAAUCAUACGAUGCGUAAUGGAGGAGAUGGUGUUUUCUGUGAAGCCGGGCUGUAAGGCAUCCGGUGGAGAGAUCACUAGUGAGAAUGAUGACAUGAGUAGCGACAAAGAGGGUGAGAGACCCUCUCGCCGAAAAUCCAAGGGUUCCUGCUUAAAGCUAAUCUGAGCAGGGUAAGCCGACCCCUAAGUCGAGGCCGAAAGGCGUAGACGAUGGGAACCAGGUUAAUAUUCCUGGGCCAGGAGGAUGUGACGGAUCGAAAAUGUAGUUCAACCUAAUUGGAUUGGUUGGGCUGCUGGACGGUUCCUGGAAAUAGCCCUCCGUUAGAUCGUACCCUAAACCGACACAGGUGGAUAGGUAGAGAAUACCAAGGCGCUUGAGAGAACCACAUUUAAGGAACUCGGCAAAAUACCUCCGUAAGUUCGCGAGAAGGAGGCCCGUUCAGAACGCAAGUUUUGGGCGGGGGCACAAACCAGGGGGUGGCGACUGUUUACUAAAAACACAGGGCUCUGCGAAGUCGUAAGACGACGUAUAGGGUCUGACGCCUGCCCGGUGCCUGAAGGUUAAAAGGAGGGGUGAGAGCUCCGAAUUGAAGCCCAGGUAAACGGCGGCCGUAACUAUAACGGUCCUAAGGUAGCGAAAUUCCUUGUCGGGUAAGUUCCGACCUGCACGAAUG